Molecule: ribosomal RNA, 498 nt
Filed under: uncultured bacterium
Lineage: Bacteria
Description: bacterial SSU rRNA
Rfam family: Bacterial small subunit ribosomal RNA
Source: RNAcentral
GAUGAACGCUGGCGGCGUGCCUAAUACAUGCAAGUCGAACGCACAGCGAAAGGUGCUUGCACCUUUCAAGUGAGUGGCGAACGGGUGAGUAACACGUGGAUAACCUACCUCAAGGUUGGGGAUAACAUUUGGAAACAGAUGCUAAUACCGAAUAAAACUUAGUAUCGCAUGAUACCAGGUUAAAAGGGCGCUACGGCGUCACCUAGAGAUGGAUCCGCGGUGCAUUAGUUAGUUGGUGGGUAAAGGCUUACCAAGACAAUGAUGCAUAGCCGAGUUGAGAGACUGAUCGGCCACAUUGGGACUGAGACACGGCCCAAACUCCUACGGGAGGCUGCAGUAGGGAAUCUUCCACAAUGGGCGAAAGCCUGAUGGAGCAACGCCGCGUGUGUGAUGAAGGCUUCGGGUCGUAAAGCACUGUUGUAUGGGAAGAACAGCUAGAGUAGGGAAUGACUUUAGUUGACGGUACCAUACCAGAAAGGGACGGCUAAAUAACGUGCC